Molecule: long non-coding RNA, 1000 nt
Organism: Coffea arabica (coffee)
Lineage: Eukaryota; Viridiplantae; Streptophyta; Magnoliopsida; Gentianales; Rubiaceae
Source: RefSeq, a predicted model, not a curated record
GAAUCAAUAGGCACUUAUUUGUGGUGCCAUGUUGAAUUUUUUUCCUUUUUUUUUUAUAUGUUACUCUGUCACAUAUUUAACUGAUAUCAAAGACUAGAUAAGCUAGUUUUCUACAUUUUAGUUAGUGGCAAUUGAAAGGGAAAGGAUUCUCAUCCAUAUGCUUUUGUUUUGCAGGUUUAGCUUUUCAAUUAUUUUUUUUACCCACAGGGAAAAUACAAUGAGCACAUUUGGGCAGAUUGUCCUAAUUAUUUGGCUUUUUGUGGUUCUGAUAAUCAAUUCGACCUAUACCGCAAGCUUGACGUCAAUCCUCACAGUGUAGCUGCUAAGCUCAUCCAUCAAUGGAAUUGAAUCCCUGAUAACCAGCAAUGAUCCUAUAGAGUUCCAGGCAUUUCCCAGAAACUCUCCCUUAGCCAUUGACAUGUCAACUGCAAUUCUUUCAUUGUCGGAGAACGGUGAACUCCAAAAAAUUCAUGACAAGUGGCUGAAGAAAAGUAUAUGUGGUCCUCAGAGCUCUCAAUCAGACCAACUUAACUUGGAGAGUGUUUGGGGUCUUUUCCUCGUAUGUGGAGUUGCAUUUGUUAUCGCUCUGCUUGUAUACUUUUGGCUAAUGUUCUGCAAGUUCAAGCAAAGUUGCCCUGAAAUAUCUGAAUCCUCUAGUUUUGGUAUUUCAUAUUUUGCAUGCUUCUGAAGAUCUCUCCUUUGUUAAUGAGAAGGAAGGGGUCACAAGCAAUAAAUUGAAAAGUAAGCGGACACGAAACAGUACUGUGUGCCAAGGGAAAGAAACUUGACCAAAGAAAUGAGGUCUAGAAGAACUGAAAGGAGUUGUUUACAAGAGGAGUGCUGAAGUGUCGGCAUGUAUAUUUCCUAUAAGCUCACUUUCUUGUAAUGAACUUUUAUUGCAUGUGAUGUCAUCUAUAUAAGGAAAACUAGAUGUUUGGACAUGAUAGAUUGUGAAAUGAAAUUGAAAUAGUGAUAAUUGAAACUUUCUUUGCUUCUAAUU